RNAcentral lists this ribosomal RNA (497 nucleotides) under uncultured bacterium. RNAcentral describes it as "partial 16S ribosomal RNA". It matches the Rfam family "Bacterial small subunit ribosomal RNA", at positions 28 to 507 of the family's 1533-position model. The record is from RNAcentral.
GAUGAACGCUGGCGGCGUGCCUAAUACAUGCAAGUCGAGCGAACGGACGAGAAUCUUGCUUCUCUGAUGUUAGCGGCGGACGGGUGAGUAACACGUGUAUAACCUACCUAUAAGACUGGGAUAACUUCGGGAAACCGGCGCUAAUACCGGAUAAUAUUUUGCACCUCAUGGUUCAAAAGUGAAAGACGGUCUUUCUGUCACUUAUAGCUGGAUACGCGCUGGAUUAGCUAGUUGUUAAGGUAACGGCUUACCAAGGCAACGAUGCAUAGCCGACCUGAGAGGGUGAUCGGCCACACUGGAACUGAGACACGGUCCAGACUCCUACGGGAGGCAGCAGUAGGGAAUCUUCCGCAAUGGGCGAAAGCCUGACGGAGCAACGCCGCGUGAGUGAUGAAGGUGUUCGGAUCGUAAAACUCUGUUAUUAGGGAAGAACAGAUGUGUAAGUAACUGUGCACAUAUUGACGGUACCGAAUCAGAAAGCCACGGCUAACUACGUG